This 222-nucleotide long non-coding RNA is filed under the name Elaeis guineensis (African oil palm). Its description in RNAcentral is "long non-coding RNA (EGUI_LNC075768)". Lineage: Eukaryota; Viridiplantae; Streptophyta; Magnoliopsida; Arecales; Arecaceae. The record is from RNAcentral.
UAUCUGAUUUUAGGCAGAAUCUUAUUUCACUGAGCAGAUUAGAUUUGAAAGGCUACAGAACAGUAGAUGAUGGAGAAAUCUUAAAGGUGUUGCACGGUGAUAGGAUUAUUCUGGAGGAAAAGAAAAAGAUGAGAGGACAUUACUACCUAACGGAGAGCUUAGUGUGAGGUGGAGCUUCAAGAGUCAGGAGGAAUCCAGAGCAAGGUGAGCUCCAGAUAGAGG